RNAcentral lists this ribosomal RNA (485 nucleotides) under uncultured bacterium. Its description in RNAcentral is "partial 16S ribosomal RNA". It matches the Rfam family "Bacterial small subunit ribosomal RNA", at positions 30 to 507 of the family's 1533-position model. The record is from RNAcentral.
UUGAACGCUGGCGGCAUGCCUUACCCCUGCCAGUCGCACGGCAGCACGGGUGCUUGCACCUGGUGGCGAGUGGCGAACGGGUGAGUAAUACAUCGGAACAUGUCCUGUAGUGGGGGAUAGCCCGGCGAAAGCCGGAUUAAUACCGCAUACGAUCUACGGAUGAAAGCGGGGGACCUUCGGGCCUCGCGCUAUAGGGUUGGCCGAUGGCUGAUUAGCUAGUUGGUGGGGUAAGGGCCUACCAAGGCGACGAUCAGUAGCUGGUCUGAGAGGACGACCAGCCACACUGGGACUGAGACACGGCCCAGACUCCUACGGGAGGCAGCAGUGGGGAAUUUUGGACAAUGGGCGAAAGCCUGAUCCAGCAAUGCCGCGUGUGUGAAGAAGGCCUUCGGGUUGUAAAGCACUUUUGUCCGGAAAGAAAUCCUUGGCCCUAAUACGGUCGGGGGAUGACGGUACCGGAAGAAUAAGCACCGGCUAACUACGUG